GAUGAACGCUGGCGGCGUGCCUAAUACAUGCAAGUCGAGCGAACAGACGAGGAGCUUGCUCCUCUGACUUUAGCGGCGGACGGGUGAGUAACACGUGGAUAACCUACCUAUAAGACUGGGAUAACUUCGGGAAACCGGAGCUAAUACCGGAUAAUAUAUUGAACCGCAUGGUUCAAUAGUGAAAGACGGUUUUGCUGUCACUUAUAGAUGGAUCCGCCCCGCAUUAGCUAGUUGGUAAGGUAACGGCUUACCAAGGCAACGAUGCGUAGCCGACCUGAGAGGGUGAUCGGCCACACUGGACGUGAGACACGGUCCAGACUCCUACGGGGGGCAGCAGUAGGGACUCUUCCGCAAUGGGCGAAAGCCUGACGGAGCAAAGCUGCGGGAGUGAGGAAGGUCUACGGAUCGUAAAACUCUGUUAUUAGGGAAGAACAAAUGUGUAAGUAACUAUGCACGUAUUGACGGUACCUAAUCAGAAAGCCACGGCUAACUACGUG
RNAcentral lists this ribosomal RNA (497 nucleotides) under uncultured bacterium. Its description in RNAcentral is "partial 16S ribosomal RNA". It matches the Rfam family "Bacterial small subunit ribosomal RNA", at positions 28 to 507 of the family's 1533-position model. The record is from RNAcentral.